GAUGAACGCUGGCGGCGUGCCUAAUACAUGCAAGUCGAGCGAACAGACGAGGAGCUUGCUCCUCUGACGUUAGCGGCGGACGGGUGAGUAACACGUGGAUAACCUACCUAUAAGACUGGUAUAACUUCGGGAAACCGGAGCUAAUACCGGAUAAUAUAUUGAACCGCAUGGUUCAAUAGUGAAAGACGGUUUUGCUGUCACUUAUAGAUGGAUCCGCGCCGCAUUAGCUAGUUGGUAAGGUAACGGCUUACCAAGGCAACGAUGCGUAGCCGACCUGAGAGAGUGAUAGGCCACACGGGAACUGGGACACGGUCCAGACUCCUAAGGGAGGCAGCAGUAGGGAAUCUUCCGCAAUGGGCGAAAGCCUGACGGAGCAAGGCCGCGUGAGUGAUGAAGGUCUUCGGAUCGUAAAACUCUGUUAUUAGGGAAGAACAAAUGUGUAAGUAACUAUGCACGUCUUGACGGUACCUAAUCAGAAAGCCACGGCUAACUACGUG
This 497-nucleotide ribosomal RNA is filed under the name uncultured bacterium. Its description in RNAcentral is "partial 16S ribosomal RNA". It matches the Rfam family "Bacterial small subunit ribosomal RNA", at positions 28 to 507 of the family's 1533-position model. The record is from RNAcentral.